AUGGAGGCGACCCUGGUAGAAAUGGUACACACCCUUGCCGCCAUCCUUAUUCUCUGGCUGAUCUCGAGGUCCCUGUGGCAUCUGGUAUGGAGGCCGUACGCCGUCGCCGGCUGGUUUGAACGGCAGGGGAUACGAGGGCCACCUUACAGAUUCGUCCUUGGGUCCUUGUGGGAGAUGAAACAGAUGUUGGUUGCCGAGAGGACAAAGGCGCCUCUGGAUAUCGGCAGCCACGACUACACCUCCCGCGUCAAUCCUUUCUUUCACAAAUGGGCCGCCGAUUAUGGGAAAACAUUUCUGUAUUGGUUGGGACCAACACCGACAAUAUAUUCUACCGACUUGGAGCUAGUCAAGCAAGUACUGGAAGACAAGACAGAGUUGUUCCAAAAGGACUACCUGAAUCCAAUCUUGGAACGCAUCUUCGGCAAAGGACUUGUGACCACAAACGGCGAUGACUGGAAACGGCAUCGCAGAGUCGUAUACCCGAUCUUCAACCACGAGAGCCUCAAGUCUGUGUCAGCUAUGACAAGGGAAGGCACGCAAAAGAUGAUUGCGCAAUGGUGCAACCAAAUAGAAAAGGGUGACGGCCACCAAGCCGAGAUAGACAUGAGGUGCUACGCUGAAGAGUUGACUUUAGGAGUCAUUGAACAGGUGAUCUUCGGCCAAAACAGCAAAGAAUCCCGGGAGGUGUUUGUCGCAGGCAAGGAGGGCCAGAAGCUCGCGGUAUAUGCGUUUGCGGAUCCUCAAAUACCCGGAUUUAGAUACCUGCCCACACCCCGUAACAUUAGGGCAUGGAAACUUGACAAGUCGGCGACGAGCAAUAUAACACAGCUCAUAAAGGAGCGGCUUGCCAGUGGUGUCGGCGGAGACGACCUACUCGGGUUGAUGCUGCAGGCGUACAAGUUAAAAGAAGUUGAAUCAUUGAGCUACGAUGAGAUGAUCGGUGAGUGCAAGACCAUCUUCGCCGCUGGGCAGGACUCAGGUGCAACCCUCCUCACCUGGGCGAUGUUCUUGCUCAGCAUCUACCCAGAAUGGCAAGAGAAGCUCAGGAAAGAAGUGCUGAGAGAAUGCAGGGAUGAUGAUGGCGACGCCCCCAAUAGCAAUAGCAUCCAAGUCCUUGGCAAACUGAAGCUACUUAGCAUGUUCCUUCUUGAGACACUGAGGCUCUACAGUCCUGUGCCGUUCUUGCUGAGGAAGACCGCGUCUGACACAACAUUAGCAAACAUCAAAUUUCGAAAAGGAACCAUGAUAACAAUUCCGAUCAUGAUGUUGCACCGGAGCAAGGAGAUUUGGGGCCUCGAUGCCGACGAGUUCAACCCCAUGAGGUUUGAGAAAGGCGUCUUGGGGGCUACCAACAACACAUAUGCAAUGUUGGCCUUCUCAUGCGGGCCACGUGCGUGCCCUGGGAGGAACUAUUCCAUGAUCGAGGUGCAGACCGUGAUGACGUUGAUCCUGAGAAGAUUCUCCUUCUCCCUCUCUUCCCAGUAUGUUCACAUGCCCAGGAACCUCAUCACACUGGCACCUAGGUAUGGGCUUCCCCUAAUCGUGAGGAAUUUGCUGGAUGGACAAAAAAGUGACAUUUAA
This 1581-nucleotide ribosomal RNA is filed under the name Triticum aestivum (bread wheat). RNAcentral describes it as "partial small subunit ribosomal RNA". The record is from RNAcentral. Lineage: Eukaryota; Viridiplantae; Streptophyta; Magnoliopsida; Poales; Poaceae.